This 372-nucleotide long non-coding RNA is filed under the name Pan troglodytes (chimpanzee). RNAcentral's name for it is "long non-coding RNA NONPTRT014308". The record is from RNAcentral. Lineage: Eukaryota; Metazoa; Chordata; Mammalia; Primates; Hominidae.
GGAAAAAGCACAAGGACCUGCUCACCCAGUGAGUAAAUUUGGCAAAUCUGGUUUGUUGAGCCCAGGCUGGAAGAAGCUGUUCACUUUGCCUUCACUCCAGGUCUCACUGCUGGGUUCCUGGUCCCACAUCAUUGUGGCUUCUUUGCAAAUUUGUACCCAGAUUUGGUUCACCUGAGGUGAGCACACAAUAAGUGGUUAUUUCUCAUCCAUCUGAACUGUUUGUGCUGCUCUGAUCUGAGGGAUUGUCCUGAAACAGGCAUUAAAAAAAUCUGUCUCCUUGGGAGAUUUCAGAUACAUUCUGUUUCAACAAGCUGGAAGUAUCUGGAGUCAGAAUUUUUUCUGACAGCAACUUUACCCAAUAUACCCUUUGUC